Anas platyrhynchos (mallard) is the source of this 3008-nucleotide non-coding RNA. The record is from RefSeq and is a predicted model, not a curated record. NCBI's taxonomy places the organism in Eukaryota, Metazoa, Chordata, Aves, Anseriformes, Anatidae.
GUAACCAGGUAUGGGGUGGGUUUGGUCUCUAGACUCCAGCAUUUCACUAGGAGCCAACUUGGAGUAAUGACAAAGAUCAUUUCAGAGAAGGUGCUUUGCUACUUAUAAGUCUAAAAGUCGUUGGGAGGAAUUGAAUUCCACAUGCAUCAUCAAGACUGCAGCAAAAUGCUUAGUGUUGUAAUAACUGUGAGAGAACCAUUCUUCAUCCAUCCUUGGGCUGCUAGAAAGAGAGACCCUGAGGCCAGAAGGUAAUUAGCUGGCUUGUUUUUGAGCUGAGAUGCUUGAUAAGGUAUGUACCAAAUCCUCCAAAAUGAACUGCAAACUCAUGUGCAUAUUAUUAACAGCAAAUUUGUUGCCAUAGUGGUUUUCAGCUUACUUUACUAGAGUCACUAUCUGAAGAUAAAAUAAAAAGACACUCUUUCUUUUUAAAGCCACUAGCAGCAGUGGGGGAAAUGGUGGGUUUGAUGCUGGUAAUUAGAGCAUUUUACAGGUUUCCCCACUCCUUUUUCCUUUGAGAGACCCUGGUCGACUUGUCCAUGUGGAUGUACCUGCCUAUGCCCAUUGCAUUGUCCUAUGGUCUGUACAAGAGAAAGCAGCCUCAACCCAUAAUUGCCUAUAACUUGCUGUUCACACCGCUGGGUACAUGAGACUUUGCCUGGGAUGGAAUGCUGAGCAUCUCUCUUAAGGGACCACUGGUAAGCAAAGAGGGCAAGCAGUUUGCUCAGUAGCAUUUGAGGGAGCGGGGAGGAGAAAGACAUUCCAGUCCACUCCCCUUCCCCCCGUCAGAGGAAAAUACAGUUUGUGAAUCCUAAAACCUUUUUUCAAAAUCUGAGAGUAAAAAGCAAACUUAAGUCUUCAAAGUGAUUGUGAGUCAGUCCCCUUCAAAGCAUUUCCAUGGAUUUCUUGAAGUUUCUUUCCAGUGUGUAUUCCAAACGUUUUUGUGGGGAUGAUAAAUUCUUCCUGUCUCACAUUUAAUUUUGGUCCAUCAAACUGGCUCUCAUUUUGGUUUUUCUUCUGGCAUUAAAGGCUAAUUUGCCUCCUCUAAUUGAAUGCAGAAACUACAUCUAACAUGACAGCCACUACCCACUCAAUAAUGGGAUAUUGUCUUUCCCGACUUGCACUCGCCUUAAUUAAAAGCAGAGAGCUGACCUCGGCACUGAACUCUGCCCUAUUCCUUGCUAAUGCUUUUACACAUCACUUCACGCUAAAGCUCGGCAGAGCACAUGCAAGGUCCUGGCAGGCCAGCGCUGUUUUUUUGUUUGGCAUUGCUGUAAGAGCCAGGCUCGCUCAGUCCGCAGGAGGUGGCUGGUGGCCGUGGCAGCACUGCCGCUGCCCCAGCUGCUCCUGGCCGGCGGGACAUGGAGAGGCAGCAAGUGCCCUGGGGGGCUCCAUGGCAUGGGUGGGUAUCAAAAAACAUUGUCAAUGGGUGGCUGGAGGUGAGCUCUCUGCAGAGCCGAUGCAAGCAUUGGGAUGGGCUAUGAAGGGAAGUGCUGGUGAAUAGCCCUUGCUUCUUCCGAAAGAAAUGCACUUUCCUUGUGCAAGUGAUGGUGUGGAAAAGAAACACACAGACAUCUGUCAGUAAAUAGUGUGGGUAUUUUUGUGAUUGUUUGACAGAAAAGUGAUGGAUCAGUGCAAUGGGACAUAUCCCUGAGAAGGACACCUCAUCUCUAAACUAAACCAGUAUUUUUCAACAGACUGUGGUUUUUACCAUAAUAUUCAGCAUUUUACUUGGUCUCCAGCUCCUGGAGAGGGAAGAAUUGAAGAGCUCAGCUUUCAGCUAAAAGCCUUCACCCUCCUGCUCCUGGACAGAAAGUAACAUUGGGAACUGCCUUUACCUGAUAGGAUAAAAAGUGGAAGGCAAAUGUGGCAUGCAUCCUCCACAACCAUUUUGAAAAACCCUGAACACCACCUGAGGUGGUUAAUCUUUCAGGGUUUUUCUUGGAGAGGCUGAGGAGCCCUGAGUUACAAGUGCUUUUUGACAUUGGGGUUGGCAACGCAAAAGACAAGACAUGAUUCCUGUUAACAGCCUUCUACAGCUUUACCAGAGGAGGUCCAUCACAAGGCAACCAUCACCUUUUCUCCAAUGCUUAAAAUAAUUACAAUGCCUGAAGCAUUCUUGUAUCCCCACUCCACAGAAAAUCUUUGCUAACAGUUAAAGCUAAAUAAAGACAGAGAGCAGUGCUUGCUGCAUUUACCUCAUACCACAACUUCUUGGCCACUUGCUUGCAAGCACAGCUGCACAGUGAUACUUCUCAUCAACUUUGUUUUGCUGUGUCCUUGCAUGGUCCAGUUCCCUGCUGCUGGUUCCAGAGCCUUGACCCAGCAGAAGAUUUUAAUUUCACUACAGACAUCCACACUGAACCUAGGAGGUUUCUAGAGUGUGUGGAAGAUAACUUCCUGAAACAGCUAGUGAGUGAGCCAGCUAGGGACGGUGUCCCACUGAACCUUUUGCUUGUACGUAGAGAAGGACUUGUGUAUGAUAUGAAGGUUAGAAGCCAUCUCAGGCACAGCAAUCACAAAUUAAAAGAAUUUUCAAUUCUUGAAAGAGUAAGGAGGAGGUUUAGCAGAAGAUCCACUCUGGACUUCCAGAGGGCAGACUUCGGUCUGUUAAGGAGAAUGGCUGGUGGAGUCCCUCAGGAGGUAGUCCUGAAAGGCUGGAUGCUCCUUAAGAGGGAAAUCCUGAAGGCACAGGAGCAGGCUGUCCCCAUGUGCUGAAAGAUGAACCAGUGUGGAAGAAGACCAGCCUGGCUGAACAGAGAGCUGUGGCUGGAGCCCAGAAAGAAAAAGAGGGUUUACAACUUUUGGAAGAAGGGGCAGUACACUCAGGAGAACUACAGAGAUGUCAUGAGGCUGUGCAGCGUCAAAAUUAGUAGGACUAAUGCCUAACUUGAGCUCAAUCUGGCUACUGCUGUUAAAUACAAUAGAAAAUACUUUUAUAAAUACAUAAACAAGAAGAGGACUAAGGAGAAUCUCCAUCCUUUGUUGGAUGUGGGGGGAAACAGUGACGA